UACGUAGGGGGCAAGCGUUGUCCGGAAUCAUUGGGCGUAAAGAGCGUGUAGGCGGCCCGAUAAGUCCGCUGUGAAAGUCCAGGGCUCAACCCUGGAAUGCCGGUGGAUACUGUCGGGCUCGAAUCCGGAAGAGGUGAGUGGAAUUCCUGGUGUAGCGGUGAAAUGCGCAGAUAUCAGGAGGAACACCAAUGGCGAAGGCAGCGCACUGGGACGGUAUUGACGCUGAGACGCGAAAGCGUGGGGAGCAAACAGG
Molecule: ribosomal RNA, 253 nt
Filed under: uncultured bacterium
Lineage: Bacteria
Description: partial 16S ribosomal RNA
Rfam family: Bacterial small subunit ribosomal RNA
Source: RNAcentral